UGUGUGUGUGUGUGUGUGUGUGUGUGUGUGUGUGUGUGUGUACACAUGUGGGGAUCUCUGCAAGGUUAGGUGUUGGAUUUAAACAACCUUCAGUUUUAGUGGUUUAGGCAUUACCAGUCUGGGGCUAGGUUAAGUACAGGCAUAAAUGUUAUUACUGAGGUGAGGGUAGGGUAAGUUUAGGUCUCAAGUCCCCACAAAGAUUGGAUGAGUGUGCGUCAGUGAAAAAUGAGUGCGUGUGAAUGUCUGGGAUAUCUACUCCAGAGGUACAGAGUGCCCUCCGCUAAUAGUUCAUCAUGAAGAUUACUGAGGUGAGGCGGAGAUACUGUACAGCAGAGGUCCUCCCCGGCUCCCAAACCAUUGCCCCUUCUACCAGUGACUUCCAACUGAAGUUCAAUGCACUUUUGUGGCCUUUUGGGGCUUGUGCUUAACGUUUUCUCGCGUGGACAUUGUAAUCUUGUAUUAUAAGAGUAGUAUAACUGUAUAUGCAAAAGCAAAGAUGUAUUUUGCUCAGCGGUUCCCAUUGCAGAUAUUGUACAGACCAGAGUACUAAGUAUUGUGAAGGAUGGUCGUGUGUGUGUGUAUAUAAUACAUGUGUAUGUAUAUCCAUUGUCUUUUGCUUUGGUCCAUGUCGUAUUUUGUAGGUUGCGGUUACAGAUGACCUGUGUGACUGCAUACUGUGUUUGUACAAUUAUACAAUCUUUGGACCUGUUGCGACCUGUUGACAUUUUUAGUUUGCUCUAUUUUAAAGUUUUUAUAUUUUUUAAAUGUAUUUUGUUUUACAAUGUGCAGGCCUUUGUGCUGAAAGAUAGUCUUUUGUUUUCUGGCAUUCAUAAAAUUAGCCCAUUCUUCACAGUUGGGUUUUGUGUAAAUUCCCCGUAGAUCUGAUGUUUACAUAAAUGUUCAGUCAUUCAGCUGUCUAUAUCUAAUUUUACAGUGUAGGCUACGACAUCCUAUCAGGUCUCUAAAAAAAUUAUCAAUAUGGCAUUUCUGUAAGAAAUGAAUGGAGUCAAUAUGUUAUGGUUUUGUUUUGACAUUCAAGUCACCCUGAACCAUACAAACUGAUACUUUAUUCUGGACUGAAGAUUUGCUGGCAGUGCAUAGGCUACAGAGAAUUAUGAUUUGAGUUAAUUUAAUGCUUGUAAAAUAUUGUUCUCUACAUAUUAGCUCUGAAUCACGGCCUCGGUCAAUAGUUGCUCAUUUAGUCAAUCCAAGUUCAAGAGACUUUUCUUAUCCUCUGGCAUACUGUGUAACAAUUGUACUGUGAAUAUACUGGAGUCCGUCUCCCAAACACUAGCCUGGCUGUUUGCGUUACUGUUUUGUUGCCCUGAUUGUUAUACUGUGACCUGAACAGCUAGAAUACGGUGAACAAAUGUGAUGUUUCGUGGUAGUGUGUAGGACUUCUCUAUAAACGAAACAUUGUUAGGAUGAUUUCACACCUGGUCUCUUUCUGCCAAUUCUUGUGAACUUGAUGUUGUUGACUUACAUUUUUGUGCAGUGUCAACAUUCAGUGUCACUCAGGCCCAACACAAGAGCCCUAGCAGGGAACCACAAGGACUCCCAUCUCUAGAUGUGGUCUAUGUUUGAUUUUGCUUACAGUCCUUGAUCCAGUUCCCUUUGUAGGGAACAAUUCCUCCAGCACACCUGAUUAUACUAGUCCGUUAUUCACUUAGCCCUUGAUUAGUGAGUCAAGCCUGUUCAGGGUUACAACACAUUUUUUAAUGUCUGGGAGUCCCUAAUGACAUGGUUCAAGACCUAUCCCAGUGACCAAGAAACACUGACCCAGCCAAUGUAAUAUUGAAAAAUAGCCCCUGCCAAAAAAAAUCUAGUUCUUGGACAACUGCAGUUACAACUUUGCUUUUUUCCCUAUUUCCAAUAAUACUGGUACAUUUUAUUUUGGUUGUGGUAUGUUUGUUUGGAGUGGCCGGUAGCCCAAACUUUACAUUAUCUGACUAGUAACUGAAAGGUUGCUAGACUGAGUAUCUGUUAAAAAAAAGUUUUUAAAAAUAUUUUAACAAAAUCUAUUAGGUUCCAAAAUGCUGUUUUUUUUUUUGCCUUUAUCCUUAGCUUUUCACUAAAACUGUUUGAUGUGACUUGUUGGGAACUGUGCUAAUACCAAGACUAUAUUUGGUAAACUUUGGGGAAAUACCUAAAUCUGGUAACGUUCAUGCAAAGAGGACUCUGACCAACUAGCAAACGUUAUGUCAACUAGCAAAAUCGCAGAAUUCUAUUUAAAGGCAAGAGGUGUGAAAAUUAAAAUAAUGUUUGCUUUUUUUACCAUGGAGUUCACUCCAAAGAGGACCUUAUGUGAAAACAUUCUAGUGACUUUACCAUGCUGCUUUCUAAGAGGUCAGUGUCAGUCCAGUUCAACUCAAGACUGCUCUAUGGUUGUAUUGGAAACAAAACACAUUCAUGACUUAUCUUUUCCUCAGACAGACUUGAUUUGGUACUGGUUGGGUUGCAAUACCUCUGUGACUAAUCUAUUCUGGGUUAGGGAUGCCAUCUUGGUGGUUCCACUUCAUUCAACCAAACAUUAAGUUGGAGAGUUUUUAUUGGACAAAUAACGUCAGUUUGUAAAGUACAAGGCACAGGAGGGACCUACCUCAAUAAUUUUCGCAUUGAAUGCUAGUCUGCCUACUUGAAAUGUUUAGCAGCCAGAUAAUGUUUGGUGGAAUGAAUAUACCUCUAGUCUGCAUAGAAUUGUCCACAUGUUGUACAGCCAUAGUACAGUUUGGGAAAGUAGACAAAUUAUUUAAUUUAUGGUAUGAUACUUGAAAUAUACUGCUCAGCUCUGUUGUAACUCUGUGUUGAUUUCAGCUUCACGUUGAUGUAAUGCUGUCCAAUUAUAUCUGGGAUAAAGAAAAGAUGCUUACUCAUUCAUGUCCAUGUUUUAGCAGGAAACAUAAUUGGUUCUUUGAAACCUUGAUUUAUCAAUACCGUAAGUAAAAAUGUGAUUACUAACAGGUAGAAUCUGUUACAAUGUGUGAACGAAAAACUGGAUUAUCACGUCUAAACAUUUUAGUGAACACCUAUUUUGAAUGUUAUUUUAUUAUUUCUGCUCUUGCAUCAGCCAGUAUAUCAAAUGUAGUUUGAUAGUCCCCUUUUUUCUAUUUGUUUGAUUUAUUCUGGUGAAAUUAAUGUUCAUUGUGCCAGCUAUGUAUCAUUAUAAGACCACAGUUUUACAAAAAUCAAUAAAAAACAGAUUGCAACUCA
This is a long non-coding RNA of Esox lucius (northern pike), 3210 nucleotides long. The record is from Ensembl. Lineage: Eukaryota; Metazoa; Chordata; Actinopteri; Esociformes; Esocidae.